AAAAAGACAAACCCUGAUUUCCAUGUCCAACGUUUGACCGUCCGUCUUAUUUGAAAAAAUUAUGAAAAAAAAUAAAAAGAUAAGUCAUGCAUAAAGUAUUAAUCAUGUUUUAUCAUCUAACAACAAUAAAAAUAUUAAUUAUAAAAAAAUUUCAUAUAAGACGGACAGUCAAACGUUGGCACGGGAACCCACGGUUUGUCUUUUU
This 205-nucleotide microRNA precursor is filed under the name Oryza glumipatula. RNAcentral describes it as "MIR812 microRNA precursor family". It matches the Rfam family "MIR812 microRNA precursor family". The record is from Rfam by way of RNAcentral. Lineage: Eukaryota; Viridiplantae; Streptophyta; Magnoliopsida; Poales; Poaceae.